This 741-nucleotide long non-coding RNA is filed under the name Rattus norvegicus (Norway rat). RNAcentral describes it as "long non-coding RNA NONRATT013541". The record is from RNAcentral. Lineage: Eukaryota; Metazoa; Chordata; Mammalia; Rodentia; Muridae.
AGUGACCUAUAUCUGCCCCAAACCACUCAGAUAAUGGAACUUAUAGAGUUAGUGAUGCUUUUCUUUCUUGGCACUGUCUGGGAACGUUCCCUGAUGAUCCGAGUCACUGACCUCUGACCUCUCUCUUCUUUAGGCAUUUACUUGGUUUUUGCCUUUGAGAAGCAGCAGUGAGCGCAGUGCUUCAGAGCAGCCCUCCAUCCUCCCAGGUGGAGCAGACCAUCCAGAGACAUUUGACAGCCGUUUGUUUAUUUUCAUAGAGAGAAGAAUUCCUCAAAGGGUGGAAUUAUUGAUGGCUAUCCCAAGCAGCAAGAAGAGAAAUGUGGAGUUCCUAGGCCCUUCCCUGAGGACUCAGAGAAAACUGGCCUUGGUCUGAGAUGGUCUCUAGUCAUUAUACCUACUGUCAAAGACAUAGGAGAGCUCCCAUGAUGUCACCCUACAGGAAACAGUCAAGCAGCUGCCUUUCUCCUUUUGUGUUGUUCCUAUCUGUUGAACCUCCACCCCUCUACCACUCCCCGCAGAAGUUUAAUGACUCAGGAUGAACUCUUGAGGACAAGAACGGGAAGGUGGCCUUUCCUGUUAUUUCUUUCAACAAAUAAGACUUUGCCCAACAUUCUUGGAACCUAAAUGUUUAAUUUUGUUAUGACUGUAGUCCCUGAUGAGAAGGUGUGACUUUCAUUGCAGCAUCCAGAAAGAGUCCCUUCUCUUGGGUUCAGUGAUGAAAAUGGUUCAAAUACACCCAGG